AGAAAAAAAUGUGGGAAAUGAUAGAGUUUCUUAGGUCUAGGAAAGGGGAAACUGUGAAGAUUUCUGAAAUUCUGUUUGGUACCAUUUUAAACACGUUAGGGAACCUUUUCUUUUCAAAAGAUUUAUGUCAUUUGGAUUAUGAAAGAAACACCAGUGAGAUCAAAUGUGUUUUUAGAAAAUUUAUAGAAUUGGGAGCUAUGCCAAAUAUAUCAGAUUUCUAUCCUUUAUUUGAGGCUCUGGAUCUGCAGGGAUUGAGAAAGCAGACGGAAAUAUAUCAGAGUCGAUUGAUCAACAUCUGGAGUGAAAUUGUCAAGGAAAAAAGGCAUGCAAUUAGCCGUCAUAGCUCGGAUUUUUUGGAUGUCAUGAUUGAUAGUGGAUUCUCAGAUUUACAGAUCAAUAUCUUAUUGACAGUAAUUUAUUUAUCACCUCUAAAUCAAUUUCUUAAAACUAAUAGACAAAUUUGAUGAAAUAGGCGUGAGUUUUGUUUUUAAAAGAUGAUUGAGAUGGACAUGACACAAUUCUGUUCUUCAAUCUCAGGAAUUAAUAGGUGCGGGUUCUGACACCACUACCGCAACAACUGAAUGGGCAAUGACAGAGUUGCUAAGGAACAAGGGCGCUAUGCACAAACUUCAGGCUGAGCUUACAAGUCAAUUCGGGGAAAAUGAUAUUAUCACAGAAUCAAACAUCACUGAACUUCCAUAUUUGGCUGCUUGUGUUAAGGAGACAUUGAGACUCCAUUCGCCUACUCCCUUCUUGAUUCCUCGUCGUGCAUCUGAGACAUGUAAGAUUAUGGAUUACACCAUCCCAAAAAACUCGAAAUUGUUUGUGAACGCUUGGGCAAUAGGGCGUGACUCCAACACUUGGGAAGAUGCAUUAUCUUUCAAGCCUGAGCGAUUUCUAGACUCUAAUGUGGACUUCAGGGGUCAAGAUUUUGGGCUCAUACCAUUUGGUGCAGGGAGGAGAAUAUGCCCUGGCUUAGGUUUUGCUAGACAAGAAAUUCACUUAAUUUUAGCUAGUUUGAUCCAUUACUUUGAAUGGUCACUUCCUAAUGGUGAGGAUCCAAUGCAGUUAGAUAUGGAAGACAAGUUUGGUGUUACUCUACAGAAAGAAAAGCCUCUACUCAUUGUUCCUAUGUAAUAUGAGUAUUUUUUUUAUAGUCUAUAUCCAAGAUAUAAUGUCACUUGGAGUACAAAAUAAAUGAUUUAUUGUGCGACAAGUAAAAUCGUAAAAAUAUUAAGUAUAACUUGUGUCUUUGGGGUAUAAAGAUUUUUCGCAAAAGUCGUGACAGUAUUGUAUGGAGAUGUGUUCUCCUAUGGUGGAUACAAUGAAAUUUCUUUUAGUUUGACAAUAUAUGAAAAACUUGAAUAAGAUAAUAAAUGAUUAUUAUAUGUAGCUAGACAGUACACAUUAUAUGAAAAUCCUUGAAUGAUUUAAAAUGUUAUAAAACUAUUCGAUUGAAUAGUACCCCUAUGAUUGUGAGAUCAUUUUAUAUAAAUAAAGAUUAAUUUCAGUCACAUUAGAAUGAAACGAAAAUAUAAUUUUACUGCAAUUGGUGCACUUAUGUAUCAUGAAAAUAUUAGAGUGAAACAAAUAUUGAUACAAAUUAUUUAUUUUGAUCAAUCAUGUCAAGGUUUAUUGAUUAUGAAAUUUGAUCUCUAGAAAGUUGUAUGUCUUCAUGUGGAAAUAUUGUCAUAUCAAAUCAUUUCACAAGCCAAUCAAUUUUAUAUAUCGAAAUAGUUCAUCUUCCUCACUGACUAAUUUUUUUUAUAAAUAUCGAUAUUGUAUAAAUAGUUAUGUUAGGUAUAUAUAAUGUACAUAUGCAUUCAUAUAUAUUUUUAUAUAUAUAUCGAAAUAGUUCAUCUUCCUCAACAAACUAAUUUUCUUAUUUAGAUCCCGAACUAUUCGAAUUUCUUUUAAGCUGUUACAACUUUUAGAGAUGAGCUCCUAUUAAUAUUUUAAAUUUUUUGAUAUCUUAUUCACUCAAAAUAAUUCACAUUUACUACAUGUCUGAGUUUUAAAAUUUGUGUUAAGCGCUGAAUAUAUAAAGAAUUUUUUGCUUGACUAUUAUUAAUACAAUAAAACAAAAUAGCGGUUGGUGAGUAUGACAAGUUGGAAUAUUUUGGUGUUUUAUAUAUGUCUAUUGGCCAAUUAUGAAAUAUCUUCUCAUUAUACUUGUGUUGAUUUAAUGGAGUAUUAUAUGCUGCAAGCAUCCCUUCUUUUCUUGAUUCCAUUCUUCUUCCUCAUCGUUAAACAACUCAUACCAAAAUCUGGAAAUCUUCCACCAGGUCCUCGACCAUGGCCUGUGUUAGGAAAUAUUCUCCAACUGGGAAAAAACCCCCAUAUUUCACUGGCAAAAUUUGCCGAAAUUCAUGGGCCAUUGAUUUCUGUCAAGCUGGGAACUCAACUGGUUGUGGUAGCUUCGUCCCCUCAUUCUGCAGCUGAAAUCCUUAAGACUCAAGAUCGUCUUCUCUCAGCCCGGUCUCCGCCCAGUGUUGUUCCAUAUGAACUAUCUGUUAUUGAUCAACACUCAAUUGUCUUUUCUAGUGAUUUGGGCAAUCACUGGAAGUUCUUGCGGGCAUUUUGUCGAACACAUUUGUUCUCACCCAAAGCGGUAGAGUCACAGGCUGCUCUGAGGGAUAAAAAAGUGUCGGAAAUGAUACAUUUUCUUAGGUCUAAGAAAGGGGAAACUGUGAAGAUUUCUGAAAUUCUGUUUGGUACCAUUUUAAACACGUUAGGGAACCUUUUCUUUUCAAAAGAUUUAGUAUGUGGUUUGGAUUAUGAAAGAAACCCCAGUGGGAUCAAACGUGUUUUUAGAAAAUAUAUAGAAUUGGGAGCUAUGCCAAAUAUAUCAGAUUUCUAUCCUUUAUUUGAGGCUCUGGAUCUGCAG
This 2887-nucleotide long non-coding RNA is filed under the name Solanum tuberosum (potato). RNAcentral describes it as "long non-coding RNA (STUB_LNC003896)". The record is from RNAcentral. Lineage: Eukaryota; Viridiplantae; Streptophyta; Magnoliopsida; Solanales; Solanaceae.